AUUUGUGUCCGUGGAGCUAUGCCAUCCAACACUACACAUCAUCUGUAAUUUUUUUACCUUUUUCCUCACUCUUUAUUUUUAUUCUGUGGUAAUCCCUGAGUUGUAUUCUGAGGAGGUUUAAUCAAAAUAUGUAUCAUAUUUAUUAUAAAAUCAAGGUAUGCAGCCAGUGUUUUAACAGUUUCCUAAAUCAAUCUUUUGCAUUGCUAUCUACCUCAAUGAAUGCUUGAUUUUUACGGUCAUGGUUGUAAAAAUAUAUGAAGGAAAAUCAUCAUAUAGCAUAUUUGAUAAUUAAAUUACAUAAAUUCAUGUGACGACAUAAGUUUAGAUAAAAGGUUGGUAGGAACUUAUGUUCAAUAGGGACUACAAACAAGAAAGGGUUAUUUAUAUUUAGUGAAAAAUGUAUUUGAACAGAAUCAGUGGCUAUUGAAUUAUUGUGAAAGAAAAAUAUAGAUAGUUUCAAGUGCUAAAAAUGCAAGUUCUAAACAAUGUAGUUCCAAAGGAGGCCUUAAUAUGGACUUAUAACAGAUUGUACUCUUAUAUGUAUUCCGUAUUGCUGUAUGCCUCAGAAAUAUGUAUUACACAAGACUUCAUAUAAUCUUCUGUUGAUCCAGUAUUAAUUGUGUGGUACAUAAUUGGUGGGUAUAAAUGUAUCACAAAUUUUAGUAGUCAACAAAAUAAAAAUAAUGUGAAGUAUUUUAUGCAGAAUUUGUUAAAAACCCAACAACAAAGAACCCAUUAAACAACAUUUUGUUUUGUACAAUCCAUGAAAUACGUUUACACCAAUGAAUUCACCAAACCAACCAAGAUGACUGCCAUGGCUAAAAAUAGAACAUAGGGGUAAAAUGUAUAUUUUGGCUUAUAACUCUGAAACCAAAGCAUUUAGACCAAAUCUGACACGGGGGUAAAAUUGUUUAUCAAGUCAAGAUCUAUCUGCCCUGAAAUUUUCAGAUGAAUCGGACAACUGGUUGUUUGGUUUUUGCACCUGAAUUGGUAAUUUUUAAGGAAAUUUUGCCGUUUUUGGUUAUUAUCUUGAAUACAAUUAUAGAUAGAGAUAAACUGUAAACAGCAAUAAUGUUCAGCAAAAUAAGAUCUACAUACAAGUCAACAUGACCAAAGGAGUUAUUGCCCUUUAUAGUAAAUUUUUAACAAAUUUCAUUAAUUUGGUAAAUUUUGGUAAGUUUUUACAAAAUAUUUUCCUCUGUAACUAUAGGGCCAAGUUCAUUACAGAUAGAGAAAAUUGUAAGUAGCAAGAAUGGUCAGUAAAGUAAGAUCUACAAACACAUCACCAUUACCAAAACACAAUUUUGUCAUGAAUCCAUCUGUGUCCUUUGUUUAAUAUGCACAUAGACCAAAGUGAGCGACACAGGCUCUUAAGAGCCUCUAGUUCAAAAUAUGGCUACCUUGGGAAAAAUAGAUAUUUAUCCAAAUAAAUGUAUAGUUUCUGUUGUCAGGAUUCUGAGUAUAAGCAUAAUCAGUAUUAUAUACUUGUCUUACAUCAAGAAGUGUUUGGUGUUGGAUAUUUAUCCGUUGUAUUAAUUUGUAAAUUGUUUUAGAAUUUAUAUAAUUAUAUAGAUUUAUAAUUAGAAGUUGUGAUAUUUUUAUAAUAUUUGUUUUAUUUACUGGAGAUAUGUUGCCAUAUAGCAACAAUAUGUUACUAAAU
Molecule: long non-coding RNA, 1660 nt
Filed under: Mytilus galloprovincialis (Mediterranean mussel)
Lineage: Eukaryota; Metazoa; Mollusca; Bivalvia; Mytilida; Mytilidae
Source: RNAcentral